This 476-nucleotide ribosomal RNA is filed under the name uncultured bacterium. RNAcentral describes it as "bacterial SSU rRNA". It matches the Rfam family "Bacterial small subunit ribosomal RNA", at positions 29 to 507 of the family's 1533-position model. The record is from RNAcentral.
AAUGAACGUUGGCGGCGUGGAUUAGGCAUGCAAGUCGCACGAGUACACCAAUUAGCUUGCUAAGAGGUGGAUAGUGGCGCAAGGGAGAGUAACGCGUGGUUACUUGCCCUCGAGACCGGGACAGUGUCGGGAAACUGGCAGUAAUACCGGGUAACAUCUUCGGAUCAAAAGGUGAGAUUCCGCUCGAGGAUAGGACCGCGUACUAUUAGCUUGUUGGUGAGGUAACGGCUCACCAAGGCUGCGAUGGUUACCGGGUGUGAGAGCAUGGCCCGGCUCACUGGGACUGAGACACUGCCCAGACACCUACGGGUGGCUGCAGUCGAGAAUCUUCGGCAAUGGACGAAAGUCUGACCGAGCGACGCCGCGUGCGGGAUGAAGGCCCUCGGGUUGUAAACCGCUGUCAGUAGUUAGGAAAUCCAUGGGAGUUAUCUCCCAUGGUUGACCGAUCUUCAGAGGAAGGACGGGCUAAGUUCGUG